GCUGAGUGUGGUGGUGUGCACCUGUAAUCCCAGUCACUCAGGAGGCUGAGGCAGGAGGAUCACAAAUUCCAAGCCAGGCUUGGCAACUUAGCGAGGUUCUAAGCAACUUAAUGAGAACCUGUCUCUA
RNAcentral lists this small RNA (127 nucleotides) under Marmota monax (woodchuck). The record is from RNAcentral. Lineage: Eukaryota; Metazoa; Chordata; Mammalia; Rodentia; Sciuridae.